CAGGCCUAACACAUGUAYGUCGAGGGGCAUCGAGAAGAAAGCUUGCUUUCUUUGUCGGCGACCGGCGCACGGGUGAGUAACGCGUAUCCAACCUACCCUUUACACUGGGAUAGCCCGUUGAAAAGCGGAUUAAUACCAGAUGCAGUCCUUUGCGGACAUCUAAGUAGGACGAAAGGUUUUUCCGGUAGAGGAUGGGGAUGCGUCCGAUUAGCUUGUUGGCGGGGUAACGGCCCACCAAGGCGACGAUCGGUAGGGGUUCUGAGAGGAAGGUCCCCCACACUGGUACUGAGACACGGACCAGACUCCUACGGGAGGCAGCAGUGAGGAAUAUUGGUCAAUGGGCGGAAGCCUGAACCAGCCAAGUAGCGUGCAGGAUGACGGCCCUAUGGGUUGUAAACUGCUUUUAUAGGGGAAUAAAGUUCGGGACGUGUCCCGUUUUGUAUGUACCCUAUGAAUAAGGACCGGCUAAUUCCGUGCCAGCAGCCGCGGUAAUACGGAAGGUCCGGGCGUUAUCCGGAUUUAUUGGGUUUAAAGGGAGCGUAGGCCGACUUUUAAGCGUGUUGUGAAAUGUGGUGGCUCAACCUCUGCACUGCAGCGCGAACUGGGAGUCUUGAGUGCGCAGUAAGCUGGCGGAAUUCGUUGUGUAGCGGUGAAAUGCUUAGAUAUGACGAAGAACUCCGAUUGCGAAGGCAGCUGGCUGUAGCGUUACUGACGCUGAAGCUCGAAAGCGUGGGUAUCGAACAGGAUUAGAUACCCUGGUAGUCCACGCGGUAAACGAUGGAUGCUCGCUGUGUGCCUUAUGAGGUACGUGGCCAAGCGAAAGCAUUAAGCAUCCCACCUGGGGAGUACGCCGGCAACGGUGAAACUCAAAGGAAUUGACGGGGGCCCGCACAAGCGGAGGAACAUGUGGUUUAAUUCGAUGAUACGCGAGGAACCUUACCCGGGCUUGAACUGCAGGGGAACGAUUCAGAGAUGAUGAGGUCCUUCGGGACUCCUGUGGAGGUGCUGCAUGGUUGUCGUCAGCUCGUGCCGUGAGGUGUCGGCUUAAGUGCCAUAACGAGCGCAACCCUUUUCUGUAGUUGCCAUCAGGUAAUGCUGGGCACUCUACGGACACUGCCGCCGCAAGGUGUGAGGAAGGUGGGGAUGACGUCAAAUCAGCACGGCCCUUACGUCCGGGGCUACACACGUGUUACAAUGGCGCAUACAGAUUGCCGGCUUGUGGCAACACUGGUCAAAUCAAUAAAAUGCGUCGUAGUUCGGAUUGGGGUCUGCAACCCGACCCCAUGAAGCUGGAUUCGCUAGUAAUCGCGCAUCAGCCAUGGCGCGGUGAAUACGUUCCCGG
This 1342-nucleotide ribosomal RNA is filed under the name uncultured rumen bacterium. Its description in RNAcentral is "bacterial SSU rRNA". It matches the Rfam family "Bacterial small subunit ribosomal RNA", at positions 43 to 1377 of the family's 1533-position model. The record is from RNAcentral.